Molecule: unclassified non-coding RNA, 611 nt
Filed under: Hevea brasiliensis (rubber tree)
Lineage: Eukaryota; Viridiplantae; Streptophyta; Magnoliopsida; Malpighiales; Euphorbiaceae
Source: RNAcentral
AAUACAUCACUCUUCUGCAGCUGCAACUGAUCUAUCACAAGUUCUGCAAAACUCUAUGCAUGUAUGUUCAUGAACCUAACAUAGUGUCUACAAACAAACAUAAUCACAAACAGGACUAGAACUAUCUAAGGAGGGAGUGGAUCCUUUCGAAUAGGAGCACACUACGUUCCCCGGUCUCCGCUAAGUCUGCUAUGCUUAAGAACCCAUGGUUGGGAAAAUGAGUUUCUAUCUAUACAUUUUUCACACAGAAAAGACGACGAAGAAGAAGUAGUAGUUAUCUUUUGCUCUUCUUACCCCACCAAUUUCUACGAGUUUUCUCUGCUUCUGAAUAACCAAGCUUGUGUACCUUCGACUUUGUCUCCUUUAACCGAGCCUUGUAGUCUUUCUUCCAUUCGUCAAACUUGUGUCUGAGUCUUCGAAAAUCUUCUGCAGGACUAGUAGACUGUAACUGCCCUGACUUUAACUGACUAAUUGCCAAGGCUUCAUCAUCGAAAUUUUGUUUUCGUAGCUCAAACUCCCUGCUAAGGUAAUUGACUACACAUAAACCACCAUUAAUCUCUCUAAUACCUCCAAAAUCUACACCGUUGCUAGCAUAUUCUAUAGGAGUGCUG